CACGUGCGAGCAGGCAAUGCAAAUGGCAUCCCUGGAGGGUUUCUCCCUAGAUUCCCGGCUGUCGUCUGAGUUAUUUGGCGCAUCUUGUAUUGGGUGAAGCAGGCUCAGCAACUUCCGGAGGAGUUCUGUUACGCUGCUCUGUUCUGUGUGGUUUGGUUCACAUCUUUUCGGUAUUGAGUUACAAUGCCUGGACCACAUUUCUGCUGAUCUCAGUUCCAUGUCCUGCGUCAAGGCAUCUGUAAUGGAAGUGGGAAUCUGUGAUGGAGAAACUGUGUAGUUCCAGUGUCAAGUAGAAGUCCCAAGCUGUGCAGGGUGAGGAUAGGAUGGCAGUGCCUGAAGUCAUUCAUUCAUUCAUUCCCUACCAAACAUUAACAUAAUUAGUGCCGUUGCUUGUAAGAGCAAUAGACUGUAAGUUUCCUCUUCAGACGUGAUUCUGCCCUUAAAUCUCAGCUGGCCUUCUGAUCAAUAAUGAUGGAAGCAAUGAUGACGCACAAUCUGGAGACUAGAUCUCCAGAAAUCAAGCCCUUAAGGACCCAGCAGAAUGCUGCUCUCCAUUGGAAGAACAGAGGCCACUUGGAGAAGCCCCUCGGCCUUCCCUGAUGGUUGUCUUCCCACCUGCUGUUCUCCAGUUAAUACAAGUUCAACUGUCUACUCCAUCUCUGCUGACUGAGGAGGCACCAGAGAGCCCAGGUUUCACCAUUCUAGAAGCACCUUCACUUCUCCCGACAUCAGCCUAAGAAAGCAAGAACAAGACUGGGCUGGGAAUCAAGCCAAGGGUCUUUCAUACAGGAGGUGAAGUCCUAUUCCUAAGCUGCAGCUCCAAUCUAUGGGAUGAAAUUUUCUGGGAUUCUUCAGUGGUGAGAGACUUUGAUAUACCUCACUAGGAACCGAGGCCAUAGUGUGUAUGCAACUUUAGCUUCAACAAAUACUGUCAAGUUGUUCUCCAAAGAACUUGUGCUGAUUUCUAUAAUCCUUUAUCCUUGAAUGUUCCUGUAAGCCCUUCCUUGCCUCUAGUUCUAGAACACAAAACAGAAAUGCAAGUCAAGGAAAGAAAACAAAAACAAAACAAAACAAAACAAAACAAAAAACCCCACAAACCCUCCCCAAAAAACCCCAAAAAACAAAAAAUAAAAAAGGAAAGAAAACAGCAUCAUGAAUCCAUUCAUCACCAAGGGAACGUGUUCUGAUUGUCUUUGUCCUGUCUAGAAGAACUUAUUGCAUGUGACCACCUCCUUUCAAACACAAUUGGUGUGUACAGGGGGAAGCCCUGACGAUGGGGCAUUUGGAAGUGGAGAUUUAAGGGCACGUGUGUUGAUUGCCUAAAAACU
Long non-coding RNA from Mesocricetus auratus (golden hamster), 1328 nucleotides. RefSeq lists it as uncharacterized. The transcript has 5 exons. NCBI's taxonomy places the organism in Eukaryota, Metazoa, Chordata, Mammalia, Rodentia, Cricetidae. The record is from RefSeq and is a predicted model, not a curated record.